AGGGGCAUGUGAGGGCUGUCGCUGACUCAAAGUCGUGCACGCCCGAGUGUGUCCUCUCACAUAAUAAUCCAUCUCACCCUUUGUGCAUCGCCGCGUGAGCACCCUUUGGGAUCAUCUCGGAGGGGGCUCGCGUUUUCACACAAACCCCCCUUUUAAAAGUGUAGAAUGACCUCAUUUAUGCGCUAACACGCAAUCAAUACAACUUUCAACAACGGAUCUCUUGGCUCUCGCAUCGAUGAAGAACGCAGCGAAAUGCGAUACGUAAUGUGAAUUGCAGAAUUCAGUGAAUCAUCGAAUCUUUGAACGCACCUUGCGCCCCUUGGUAUUCCGAGGGGCACACCCGUUUGAGUGUCGUGAAAACCUCAACCUCCUUGGUUUCUUCUGGAGACCAAAGGCAGGCUUGGACUUUGGAGGCCCUUGCUGGAACCUCUCUCUUUUGAAGGCCAGCUCCUCUUAAACGAAUUAGCAGGGUCCUCUUUGCCGAUCCUCGACGUGUGAUAAGAUGUUUCCAUGUCUUGGUUUCUGGCUCUGUCACUUUUGGGACCCGCUUCUAACCGUCUUGACCUUGCAUCGAGACAAUGUUCGAGCAUGUCUCCCUUCUCGGGAAGCUCCCUCGACCCCACGAACCCUUGACCUCAAAUCGGGUGAGACUACCCGCUGAACUUAAGCAUAUCAAUAAGCGGAGGAAAAGAAACUAACAAGGAUUCCCCUAGUAACUGCGAGUGAAGCGGGAAAAGCUCAAAUUUAAAAUCUGGCGGUCUUUGGCCGUCCGAGUUGUAAUUUARAGAAGCGUCUUCCGCGCUGGAC
This 807-nucleotide ribosomal RNA is filed under the name uncultured fungus. Its description in RNAcentral is "eukaryotic LSU rRNA". The stretch from base 201 to 354 matches the Rfam family "5.8S ribosomal RNA". The record is from RNAcentral. Lineage: Eukaryota; Fungi.